GUGGGGAAUCUUGCGCAAUGGGCGAAAGCCUGACGCAGCAACGCCGCGUGGGGGAUGAAGGCCUUCGGGUCGUAAACCCCUUUCAGUGGGAACGAUGAUGACGGUACCCACAGAAGAAGGUCCGGCCAACUACGUGCCAGCAGCCGCGGUAACACGUAGGGACCGAGCGUUGUCCGGAUUUAUUGGGCGUAAAGAGCUCGUAGGCGGUUCGGUAAGUCGGGUGUGAAAACUCCAGGCUCAACUUGGAGACGCCACCCGAUACUGCCAUGACUAGAGUCCAGUAGGGGAGUGCGGAAUUCCUGGUGUAGCGGUGAAAUGCGCAGAUAUCAGGAGGAACACCGGUGGCGAAGGCGGCACUCUGGGCUGGAACUGACGCUGAGGAGCGAAAGCGUGGGUAGCAAACAGGAUUAGAAACCCUGGUAGUCC
RNAcentral lists this ribosomal RNA (426 nucleotides) under uncultured bacterium. RNAcentral describes it as "bacterial SSU rRNA". It matches the Rfam family "Bacterial small subunit ribosomal RNA", at positions 354 to 796 of the family's 1533-position model. The record is from RNAcentral.